Molecule: long non-coding RNA, 566 nt
Filed under: Mytilus galloprovincialis (Mediterranean mussel)
Lineage: Eukaryota; Metazoa; Mollusca; Bivalvia; Mytilida; Mytilidae
Source: RNAcentral
CUGUUUCUUGAUGGCAAAACUUACAUGUAGAUUUUUUAGUGCUAUCAGUGAUUUCUGGAGAGAAAACUUUUUUCUUUUAAUAAAAUGCUAUACAUUUAUACAUUUACCUUAACUGUUGCAUAAAUAAUCAUAUUGAUUACAUUGGUAUCAGCAAAAAACUUUUUAAAAAAUUAAUUGAACUUUCUAAUGUCAAGUUUGUACAAAAAUAUAACCUGAAGAUAGAAACCAUUCUCUAUGGUUUCAAACUGUAUUUAAUGUACCUAUUUUAACUGUCGUCUGCUAAUGAGAACUUUCUUGUGAGACAUAAGUUGUAUAUAGCUAGUAUAUGAAAGUUGAAGUGUAGCAUUUUAUUGAGAUGUCAGACCCCAGGACCUCUGAAAUCCAGAUUAUGUGCAAUAAUUUUAUUUAUGUAAAUAUGUUUUCUUUUCUUAGAUACAAGCAAAUUUCUUUCAUGUUGUGUCAAAAAUAAUUGUUCAGUGUAGGCAUAUAUUGAAAAUUUAAAAUACAUACAGUGUGAUUCAAAAGAGCUAGAUGCAUUAAGAUUAAUUUGUUUUCUAUUAAAGUUA